RNAcentral lists this ribosomal RNA (334 nucleotides) under uncultured eukaryote. RNAcentral describes it as "partial 18S ribosomal RNA". It matches the Rfam family "Eukaryotic small subunit ribosomal RNA", at positions 1470 to 1796 of the family's 1831-position model. The record is from RNAcentral.
CCCUUAGAUGUCCGGGGCCGCACGCGCGCUACACUGAAGGAAUCAGCGUGGCUUUCUCCCUGACCCGAAAGGGUUGGGAAACCCGUUGAAUCUCCUUCGUGAUAGGGAUUGGGGCUUGAAAUUGUUCCCCAUGAACGAGGAAUUCCCAGUAAGCGCGAGUCAUAAGCUCGCGUUGAAUACGUCCCUGCCCUUUGUACACACCGCCCGUCGCUACUACCGAUUGAACGGUUUAGUGAGGGCCUCGGAUUGGUCUCGGCCCGCUCUUUACCGGGCGGCGCCGUUGGUCGAGAAGACGCUCGAACUUGAUCGUUUAGAGGAAGUAAAAGUCGUAACA